Molecule: ribosomal RNA, 424 nt
Filed under: Fusobacteriota bacterium
Lineage: Bacteria; Fusobacteriati; Fusobacteriota
Description: Fusobacteria bacterium partial 16S ribosomal RNA
Rfam family: Bacterial small subunit ribosomal RNA
Source: RNAcentral
UGAGGAAUAUUGGUCAAUGGGCGAGAGCCUGAACCAGCCAAGUAGCGUGCAGGAUGACGGCCCUAUGGGUUGUAAACUGCUUUUAUGUGGGGAUAAAGUGCGUGACGUGUCAUGCAUUGCAGGUACCACAUGAAUACGGACCGGCUACUUCCGUGCCAGCAGCCGCGGUAAUACGGAAGGUCCGGGCGUUAUCCGGAUUUAUUGGGUUUAAAGGGAGCGUAGGCUGUCUAUUAAGCGUGUUGUGAAAUUUACCGGCUCAACCGGUGGCUUGCAGCGCGAACUGGUCGACUUGAGUAUGCAGGAAGUAGGCGGAAUUCAUGGUGUAGCGGUGAAAUGCUUAGAUAUCAUGACGAACUCCGAUUGCGCAGGCAGCUUACUGUAGCAUAACUGACGCUGAUGCUCGAAAGUGCGGGUAUCAAACAGG